RNAcentral lists this ribosomal RNA (484 nucleotides) under uncultured bacterium. Its description in RNAcentral is "partial 16S ribosomal RNA". It matches the Rfam family "Bacterial small subunit ribosomal RNA", at positions 30 to 507 of the family's 1533-position model. The record is from RNAcentral.
AUUGAACGCUGGCGGCAUGCUUUACACAUGCCAGUCGAACGGUAACAGGGAGCUUGCUCCGCUGACGAGUGGCGAACGGGUGAGUAAUAUAUCGGAACGUACCCAAGAGUGGGGGAUAACGUAGCGAAAGUUACGCUAAUACCGCAUACGAUCUAAGGAUGAAAGCAGGGGACCUUCGGGCCUUGUGCUCCUGGAGCGGCCGAUAUCUGAUUAGCUAGUUGGUGAGGUAAAGGCUCACCAAGGCGACGAUCAGUAGCUGGUCUGAGAGGACGACCAGCCACACUGGAACUGAGACACGGUCCAGACUCCUACGGGAGGCAGCAGUGGGGAAUUUUGGACAAUGGGCGCAAGCCUGAUCCAGCAAUGCCGCGUGAGUGAAGAAGGCCUUCGGGUUGUAAAGCCCUUUUGUCAGGGAAGAAACGGGAUUGGCUAAUAUCCAGUCCUAAUGACGGUACCUGAAGAAUAAGCACCGGCUAACUACGUG